Molecule: ribosomal RNA, 497 nt
Filed under: uncultured bacterium
Lineage: Bacteria
Description: partial 16S ribosomal RNA
Rfam family: Bacterial small subunit ribosomal RNA
Source: RNAcentral
GAUGAACGCUGGCGGCGUGCCUAAUACAUGCAAGUCGAGCGAACGGACGAGGAGCUUGCUCCUUUGACGUUAGCGGCGGACGGGUGAGUAACACGUGGAUAACCUACCUAUAAGACUGGGAUAACUUCGGGAAACCGGAGCUAAUACCGGAUAAUAUAUUGAACCGCAUGGUUCAAUAGUGAAAGACGGUUUUGCUGUCACUUAUAGAUGGAUCCGCGCCGCAUUAGCUAGUUGGUAAGGUAACGGCUUACCAAGGCAACGAUGCGUAGCCGACCUGAGAGGGUGAUCGGCCACACUGGAACUGAGACACGGUCCAGACUCCUACGGGAGGCAGCAGUAGGGAAUCUUCCGCAAUGGGCGAAAGCCUGACGGAGCAACGCCGCGUGAGUGAUGAAGGUCUUCGGAUCGUAAAACUCUGUUAUUAGGGAAGAACAAAUGUGUAAGUAACUAUGCACGUCUUGACGGUACCUAAUCAGAAAGCCACGGCUAACUACGUG